Long non-coding RNA from Rhinolophus ferrumequinum (greater horseshoe bat), 2750 nucleotides. RefSeq lists it as uncharacterized. The transcript has 5 exons. Lineage: Eukaryota; Metazoa; Chordata; Mammalia; Chiroptera; Rhinolophidae. The record is from RefSeq and is a predicted model, not a curated record.
CCUGGAGAGGAAAGUUCUGGAAGAUAAAUUCCACAAUCAGGACUCAGGAAGAUCAGGAUCCAGGCCAGAUGUGCAUGCCGGCAGGCACGUCACUCCUCUUAUAUCUAGAGGUCUGCUACAUGUAACUGCGCUCCAGUCAUCACCGCCUGCAUCUUACCUUAUUCUGAACGUCUAUGUACUGGAAAUCAUAAUCGGAAUGUUCUGGAGUGGACCAGCUGCCUAAUCCUGACUCCAUCAGUUGGCUGUGGCCAGAGGACAAGCGUCCAGCUGGAGAAGAUUUCUUUUAGUCUAAAUGGAGGCCACCUGCUUUGUGGAUUGCUUUCCGUUCUGGUUGUGGAAGAAUGGGUUUGACUUAUCCUAUUCCAGAAACUUCCUCAUGUUGCCAUCACAUCAACUGUUUUGCAAUGAGAAGGAGCAGUGCCUGCUGAGGAAGGCUAGCCACCUUCAAGAGAAGUGGUGGAUGAUCACAUUUUCGGAUUUUGCCCUCAAACUUGCUGCCUUGGAAACGUAAUUGUUCAUGUCUGUGGAGUCCCUCGCCGAGUUGCAGAAACAGCCAGGAACACAGCAAAGUAAAAGCUGUAUGUUUACAGGUCAGCUCGCACAGGACCAAAGGAUACACGGUUCUCAUGCAGGAAAGGCUGCAGCCAACACCUGGUGAUGAAUGCCGCUCUUCGAUGCUCGCCGACGCGCUCUAUCCUGACAGCGAGACCUGUGCGGAGUCAGCUUGCUGUGGACUCCACUGCCUCGUCCAUUGUGCAGGGAGGUCAGCUAGCUGCACCCCACGUGACGGGGUAAGGAGAGAACUCCAAGUUGAAGUGCACACCAGCGCCCUGUAGCUGCAGCGGUAAUGGAACAAUAACGAACAUUAAUGAGACCUGUAGCUGCAGCUUUGUAAAUGGGCACCGACAGGAGGCGAGUAACAAUUCCCGCUGGGCCAGCGGUCGGCUCCUGUGACUGACUCAUCUGAGCGUUCUUCUAGAAUGCCUUCUCAGGUUGGGGUAUUCCAGAAGUUUCUCCAAGGGCCAGACUGGAAACCACGCUCUAAAUGACAGUGCCGAGUCUCACUGCAGGGACGGAGGGCCUGGGCUCUGCCUGGCUCCUUGGGGAAAAGAUUCUGUCAGGAUCACAGGCAGUUCCUUUGGGAAUGGUAGGAAAGGCGGCCAGAUUCAAAUGCAGAGGAAAGGCAGAGAGCAGCUGCAAACAAAAUCUUCUAAUUGCAUCUCUACAAAGGGCACGGAAAGCCACCUAAUGAAAAAACUGAGGUCAAGUGAGGUGAAGACAUUUAGUCAAGGUCCUAAAACUUGUUUGUCAGUGUUGGGAGACAGAAGUCCUGGCUCUGGCAGUGACUGUCACCAAGGCGACCGCGGAGGGCCUGGACCAGCUUCUGAGGGAGCACGGCUCGGCGGGGUGGGCAGACACUCUGGGAUGGCACAGCCUGCCUAGCAGUUAAACUGACUAUAAAUGAUAGGCUGCCAGAGAAAGGACAUGAACGUGUCCAGGUGAGACGACAGCCAGAAAUCUAUCAAGGCUAAUAGCAGCGAGGGGAGUGAAACACAAGACCUGAGCGUCGCUCCCCAAAUCCAGGCAGAAGCAUCGACCGCCUUCACUGACUUAAAAGUGAACAAACGCACAUAACUUCUGGAAGUGCGUUGCUGUCUGGAAAACCCACAUCCCUUCUCCUCAGUGCUUGCCAAUGAUUGUGGACGAGGUCAAAUCCUCUCGCGGUUACAGACUUUCAUGACAUGGUGAAUCUCGCUUUGGCAGCAGCUGUCACAGUUACAGUUGUGGAUUUGUUGUCCAGUUUAUUCGAUUAAUAUGGAUCUCUGUCCCAGGAGACUAGGACAGUAGCUGUUUUUACAUACUGUUGUGUUAUUCUUCCUUAGCAUGUGCCUGCACACAGUAGGCACUUAGUUUUAACAAAUAAGUGAAUAAAGAAAUGAAAAAAAGAACCAUUUUAGAGAGAAAGUCACACAGCGCAUUGUUUUGCGGGCAGUGCCGGUCAGACUGGUCAGGGCGGAGCCCGAGUCCUCACUCACCAGCAAGUGAGGCCGGUAGAACAGGGUGGGUGGCUGGAUAGCUACGUGGUACAAUAUGGAUGACUCUUGAAAAGGUGCUCAGUGGAGGGAUCUAGACACAAAGGCUACCCAGGGAAUGAUUACUUGUAUAUGAUACAUCUGGAAGAGGCAAAUCCAUAAAGAGAGAAAGCAGAGGGGUGGUUGCCCAGGGCUGGGGGGAGGGGAAAUGAGGACUAAAUGUUAUUGGACUCCAGUUUACUUCUGGAGUGAUGGAAAUGUUCUGAAACUAGAUAAUGCUCAUGGUUGCCCAUAUCUGUAAAUACAGCAAAGGACACUGUGUACUUUUAAAUUUUGUGGACUGAUCCCAAUAAAGCUUUUAUUAAAAUAUGAGCAGAAAAAAACCUCAGGUGAAAACAACAAGAACUCACGCCUGCGUGUGUUACUGAUACUACGUUCUGAGAUUAGCUGGAACUGACAGACAUGUAAUGCUUUAAGGUAAGCCAUUUUUUAUAUCAUAGAAUUUAUACAGAAAAGUCACUGUUAGAUUUUUUUUCUCAAUAUUUACUCCUGAUGGAAUGAGCCACUUAGAACAAUUACCAGAUAGGACUACGAAUUACAAUCACACAGGAUUCUAAUGCUUAAGCAUUUUUAUGAGGAAAUAUUUCAUAUCUGAAUUCAGAGGAGCACAUAUGCCACACACAUGUGUUACCAGGUUAGGGAUUUGUUAUGCCUAGU